This 388-nucleotide ribosomal RNA is filed under the name uncultured bacterium. RNAcentral's name for it is "bacterial SSU rRNA". It matches the Rfam family "Bacterial small subunit ribosomal RNA", at positions 28 to 414 of the family's 1533-position model. The record is from RNAcentral.
GACGAACGCUGGCGGCGUGCUUAACACAUGCAAGUCGAGCGGUAAGGCCCUUUCGGGGGUACGACGAGCGGCGAACGGGUGAGUAACACGUGGGUGACCUGCCCUCAGCUCUGGGAGUAAGCCUCGGGAAACCGGGUACUAAUACCGGAUAUGACUCCAUGACGCAUGUUGUGGGGUGGAAAGCCUUGUGCGGCUGAGGAUGGGCCCGCGGCCUAUCAGCUUGUUGGUGGGGUGAUGGCCUACCAAGGCGACGACGGGUAGCCGGCCUGAGAGGGCGACCGGCCACACUGGGACUGAGACACGGCCCAGACUCCUACGGGAGGCAGCAGUGGGGAAUCUUGCGCAAUGGGCGAAAGCCUGACGCAGCGACGCCGCGUGAGGAUGACGG